GGAAGGUGUUCUCACUUGCCAACGAUAUCCCAGAUGGUGCUAUAGUUUUCCUUGAUGAGGUUGAUUCUUUUGCUACUGCUCGUGAUGGCGAAACACAUGAAGCAACACGCAGACUUUUAUCAGUGCUAUUACGACAGAUUGAUGGAUUUGAGCAGGAGAAGAAAGUAGUGGUAGUGGCUGCUACUAAUAGAAAGCAAGACCUUGAUCCUGCUUUAAUUAGCCGAUUUGAUUCCAUGAUUACAUUCCCCCUACCUGAUCAACAGACUCGUCAGGAAAUAGCUGCACAGUAUGCAAAGCAUUUGACAGACUCUGAAUUAUCUGAAUUUGCAAGAGCCACGGAAGGAUUGUCUGGGCGGGACAUGAGGGAUGUAUGUCAGCAAGCGGAACGACAUUGGGCAUCAAAGAUCAUUCGUGGUCAAGCUCCUAAACAUGAAGGUAGUGGUGGCUCGCUUCCCCCUCUCCAAGAUUACAUUGAAAGUUCAAGGAACAGGCAAAGAGCUCUGUUUGAUAUUGAAAUUCAGAAGCGAAGCAUGAAUCCCACUGCAAAGAAGCCUCUGUUUGAUUUUGCAUAAUAUCAUCAUUGGGUAUGUCAUCUCUUGUAGUACAUAUAAAAUCUAUACUCACAUCUGUCGUGAUUAGUCACCAUUGGGUACGAUACAUUUAUUCAGACCAUGUUUUACCUAUAUGCCAUUUGUGUAUGAUGUCUGCA
Molecule: unclassified non-coding RNA, 709 nt
Filed under: Hevea brasiliensis (rubber tree)
Lineage: Eukaryota; Viridiplantae; Streptophyta; Magnoliopsida; Malpighiales; Euphorbiaceae
Source: RNAcentral